Molecule: long non-coding RNA, 765 nt
Organism: Harpia harpyja (harpy eagle)
Lineage: Eukaryota; Metazoa; Chordata; Aves; Accipitriformes; Accipitridae
Exons: 3
Source: RefSeq, a predicted model, not a curated record
GAUGUCGGUUUACAGCCGCGAGGCGCUUCGUUAAGCAGCAACCCAAACUUCGCAGCUGGUGACAGGGUUUCUGCGUCGGGCGGUGGGUGACAGGGGCCGCGGGGAAGCCAGGGCGACUCGCUGAGCAGCUGCAAAUGAAUUCACGAAGGGCUCGGGCGGGCAGGGGCCUCUGGGGGCCACCUAGUCCACCCUCCCCGGUCAGGCAGAGCCAUUUGCCCUGGCCCACGUCCAGUUGGUUUUGGAGUAUCUCCGAGGAUGGAGACUCCACAACCUGUUGGGGCCACUCGCUGUGCCAGCGUUUGACCCGCCCUUACGGGACAAGACAGAUGGUUGUUUCUGUUCCAGUGGGGUGUCCUGUCUUUUAAUUUGUGCACCUUGCCUCUCACCCUGUUAAUGGGCGCCACCGAGGAGUGCCUGGCUGCCUCCGCUUCCAUCCCAUGAGGUGUUCGUGCACGUAGAUGAGGUCCAUCUGAGCCUUCUCUUCUCCAGGCUAAACAGCCCCCGUUCUCUUGGCCUUUCUUCAGACUCCAGGCCCUCCCUCGUCGUCACGGUGGCCCAUCCCCGGACUCUCUCUGAAACAUUCUGUGUUGUCCCUCUGUUCUGCUUGGCUUGCUGGCAGCAAAGUUGGAGUUACACAACAAAAGACGUGUAUGGGUCUAACGCAGAAAGAAGGCCAUGUACUCCACAGAUGUUCCUGUACACUAGAUGAGAACAAUGUUGAAACUGACCACAUGUGACUGAAACUGCGUUAAGCUUCAAGGUCAA